GCCUGGGUGGCUCAGUGGUUGAGCACCUGUCUUUGACUCAGGGUGUGAUCCCGCAGUCCUGGGAUCGAGUCCCACAUCAGGCU
Molecule: transfer RNA, 83 nt
Filed under: Canis lupus familiaris (dog)
Lineage: Eukaryota; Metazoa; Chordata; Mammalia; Carnivora; Canidae
Also listed under: 1 other name
Rfam family: tRNA
About the family: Transfer RNA (tRNA) molecules are approximately 80 nucleotides in length.
Source: Rfam by way of RNAcentral